This 328-nucleotide ribosomal RNA is filed under the name uncultured eukaryote. RNAcentral's name for it is "partial 18S ribosomal RNA". It matches the Rfam family "Eukaryotic small subunit ribosomal RNA", at positions 1470 to 1796 of the family's 1831-position model. The record is from RNAcentral.
CCCUUAGAUGUUCUGGGCUGCACGCGCGCUACACUGAUGCGCUCAACGAGUUUACGACCUUGCCCGGAAGGGUUGGGUAAUCUUUUUAAAACGCAUCGUGAUGGGGAUAGAUUAUUGCAAUUAUUAAUCUUCAACGAGGAAUGCCCAGUAGGCGCAAGUCAUCAGCUUGCGUCGAUUACGUCCCUGCCCUUUGUACACACCGCCCGUCGCUCCUACCGAUUGGGUGUGCUGGUGAAAUGUUCGGAUCGGCCGUUUGUCGCGGUUUCCGCGUCAUGUGGCUGAGAAGUUCAUUAAACCCUCCCACCUAGAGGAAGGAGAAGUCGUAACA